UCCAUCCGUAGGAAGAGACAGUAAGUGUGA
Molecule: non-coding RNA, 30 nt
Filed under: Rattus norvegicus (Norway rat)
Lineage: Eukaryota; Metazoa; Chordata; Mammalia; Rodentia; Muridae
Source: RNAcentral